ACUUUGAAAAGAGAGGCAAUUCUUGCCAGGAAUUGUGACCACAGUCUGUUGCAACUAGGAAUCUUUGCCCUGUGCAUUUAUUCUAAUGAGGCAUAGGCCAAUCAGUAUCAAAAGUCAAGUAUGACAUGAGAGAUUUUGCAGAAAGAGCAAGAAGAAAAACAUAGUGGAAAUUCUGGACUUGGAGUCAGCAGAUCUGGAUUCUAAUCCCAUGACUUCCAUUUACCACCUAAAUCACCUUAGGCAAUGAAUGAAGAAAUUAAAAUUAAAUUAAUCAAUUUAUUUUAAAGGUUAUUAAGUAUCAGCUAUCUGCCAGAUCCUACAGUUGGUGCCAGGGAGACAGUUUCAGACCUCAAGGAGCUUUCAUAAUGAAAAGGGAUGUGACACAUAAAGAGAAAGGAGUGGGUGACCUCCUGAUUCCUCAAUAUCAUUUAAAAGCUCCAUAUGCCAAGACUCAAAUAAAUGAAUGACCCCAACCAUAUCCAGGAUCAAAUAGAAAAUCUUCUGCUUGGCUUUUUAAGCCCUUCAUAGCCUGGCCCCAUCCUGUCUUUCCAGACUUCUUAAAUUUUACUCUCACCUAUAUACACAUUGAUCCAAGUUACUCUGGACUCCUGAGUGUUCCAUCACACACAAGAUAUGCUGGGACAUUCAUUUCUGGGAAUUGUCACUAACUGUCUCCGAUGCCUAGAAUGUUCUCCCUCCUCAUCUUUACAACAUCACUUUGCUUCAGUUCUCAGCAGAAGCCCCUUCCUCUCCAAGAGGCCUUUCCCAGUUCCCAUCAAUGCUAAGGCCUUCCCUGUGGAUCAUGUCCAACUGAUCCUGGAUAUAUUUUGUUUGUGUGUGGUUGUUUGAUGAAGAGAUAGUGUGCAGAAGAGGCGGAGGGCCAACUGAUGAUCAGAAGGGAUAAGGCAUUCUUUGACCCCUGAGCUCAGAUCCAAUCACUCACCACCCAGCAGCAGGAAGGAAAACUCUAGGGAAGCUGUUACCAAUUCAGCAUUCCUGGCUCAUGCUGGUACAUGUGCAACACUUGUCAAAGAGAACAUUAGAGACGUGUCUUACACCAAAUUCAAAUCUUGUAGCUGAGUGCAAGGAAUGUUUCAUCUUGGUUUCUCUCAAGUGAAAGCAGACCAAUGACUGGGUUUGGCAGUAGCGGGGGUCUGCUUGCAACAAACCAUCCACAUUCUCUUACCCAGAGACAAUACAGGUAAAAGAGCUGGACCAUGUAGAAGAAGGAACAAUGGCGCCUUUUACUUUGGGGACAGGAAGACCCCAAUAUAGGAGUCAGCCCUUGAGCUGAGCUCAGAAGGGGACUAAGGAUUCUACAGGGUAGAGAUGAGGGAGGCAAAGAACACUGCAGGCAUGGGGAACAACAUGUUCAAAGGUAGAGUUAGAGAAAACAGAUGGAAUGGAGAUGUAAGAUAAACAGCAAAAAGGCUGGUUUGCCUAGAACAAAGAGUGCGAAGUAAGAGAAUAACAUUCAAUCAAGAAAAAUGAAUUUAAACUUGAAAAGAGCUCUAAAUGCCCAAGGGGGAGGGAGAUUGUAUUUUAUCCUAAUAGGAAGUGGGAGCCACUGUGGCUUCUUCAGCAGAGGAGAAUCACACUCUGGCCAUUGCUUUCAGGAUACCAAUUUGGCAGCUCUGUGGAAGAUGCUUGAUACUUUCCUACCAUUCUAAUCAUCUUAUAUACUUGAUGUUGAUGUGAUUAUGGUUGUGAUUGCUGUUUUGGGGGAAGCUAGGUGGGGGGAUAGAUAGAGAAUUGGACCUGAAGUCUUCUAGAGUUCAAAUCUAGCCUCAAACACUUAAUAGUUGUGUGGCAAUGGGCAAAUCACUUAACCCUGUUUGCCUCAGUUUUC
Monodelphis domestica (gray short-tailed opossum) is the source of this 1849-nucleotide long non-coding RNA. Lineage: Eukaryota; Metazoa; Chordata; Mammalia; Didelphimorphia; Didelphidae. The record is from Ensembl.